Molecule: long non-coding RNA, 1114 nt
Organism: Ctenopharyngodon idella (grass carp)
Lineage: Eukaryota; Metazoa; Chordata; Actinopteri; Cypriniformes; Xenocyprididae
Exons: 3
Source: RefSeq, a predicted model, not a curated record
UAGGGGAGUUAGCAGAUUAACGUAGGUGGACUUGAAUUUGAAAAAUGUAGGAAGAGAUGAUCGGUUCACGAGCUGCUUGAUCUGAGGCACUACAGUGAUCUGUCAGGACACAUUAAAGAGCCACAGAACGUGUGUCUCUGAAGAUUUAACCCAGCUCCCUGGUGCCUUCUCAGUACAUUUUGCUGUCUCCCCUUUUCAAGGUGCUCCGCAUUUGCCGAGACCUGACUCAGGCCCGGUGGAGCUACAAGGUCGCCAACCUGCUCGGUCCCCGGAGCCCGUCCAGCGUGCCCUUGAGGAUAAACAGCCCUUCAGAUAUAAAUAACCUCAAUGAAAAUCACGGUGGGCUUCACUGGCAUCAUUAUUAAUAGCUGUCGCCUCAUUGAAGACACAUGCUAAUCUGUUCGCCACAUCUCUUUGAAGUAGAAGACGGAACUCGGGGCAGAUUAUUUAUAGCACUAAAGAUGAUGCAGUUUUAAUCCCUCCAUCAUUGGCUGGAUCCAGCAGUUAGUAUGAGGUCAGUCCACUACUCACAGAACUAGCAAAGCUUGUGCUGCAUGCUUCCUCAGGGUAUUACUGGGUUUGAUAGAAGUAAAGAAAUCUGCCUCGGCUCCUCAAGAGAUUCAGCAGAACUCUUCAAAUAAUCCUUGGCUUUUUAAAGUUAUGAUGCGACACUCCGGCACAAUGCCAUGUCAAUGGAUAUGCAUAUGUAUUACUAUACAAAUAGAUACAGCGCAUUUCAAAGAAACAGAAACGAAUGCCUUUGCACGUAGUUUUGCAAAAUAGGUCAUUGUCAUUCUGUGCUAAAUGAGAUUGUGGUACGCCUUUGCCCCCCAGUGGAUCAUAAGUAAACUGCAUUGUCUCUUGUUUGUCUAUGCUGCAGGAGAGAUGUGGAUUUACAAUGCUGAAAAAGCAUAAUUCGGAUGUUUGGUUUUCUAAGAUGUUAUUCAAAAGAAUUGUUAAUUGAAUAAUGCAUGAUUUUUUUGGAAUCAGUAUGCUCAACAGCGAUGCAUUUCUACAGUCAAGUACAGAGUGAAUGAAAGUGCUGUAUAACAAGUGGGCCUAAUGGGAAAAGUCAGUGGUGAGGUGUCAGGGAUGCUGAUAUGUAAGUCAGUAU